AUGUGAGUCAUGGUGAAAAGAAGGUACUCUGUAGUCUGUAGUUAUAACUAGCUUGCUCCAGUCGGAACCGCUCAUUCUUGCUUGACGUGUCGAGAGGUUCGUACAAACGAAAGCUAUCGAGUAAUCUAAUCUACAGUUAUCCCAGCAACUUUAUUUUCCAGAAUCUACGCCAAUCUUUUAAACAUUAUGGGUCUCCUUGCUUUUGCUGUUGUCACUGGCGUUGGAUCGGCCAUCAUAGCUCUACCAGUAUUAGCUCCUGCCGUUUUGCCUCUAAUAGGCUUCAGUGCCGUGGGACCAGUGGCAGGAGGCCUUGCUGCUGGAGCACAGGCAUUUGUCGGAAAUGUCGCUGCCGGAUCUACAUUUGCUACUCUACAGGCUAUGGCCAUGGCCGCCCCCACACCAUAAUUUGAAACUCAAUUGUUCCAGCAAAUGCAAACAAUAAUGCUUGACUUCUACUAUUCAUUAACUUUUAGAAUGACAUUUUUGUGAAAAAAAUAAAUUUAAUAAAUAAAUAACUGUUGAUUGCUGUA
Homalodisca vitripennis (glassy-winged sharpshooter) is the source of this 530-nucleotide long non-coding RNA. RefSeq lists it as uncharacterized. Lineage: Eukaryota; Metazoa; Arthropoda; Insecta; Hemiptera; Cicadellidae. The record is from RefSeq and is a predicted model, not a curated record. The transcript has 3 exons.